AGUGAACGCUGGCGGUAGGCCUAACACAUGCAAGUCGAACGGCAGCACAGUAAGAGCUUGCUCUUACGGGUGGCGAGUGGCGGACGGGUGAGGAAUACAUCGGAAUCUACUUUUUCGUGGGGGAUAACGUAGGGAAACUUACGCUAAUACCGCAUACGACCUACGGGUGAAAGCAGGGGAUCUUCGGACCUUGCGCGAUUGAAUGAGCCGAUGUCGGAUUAGCUAGUUGGCGGGGUAAAGGCCCACCAAGGCGACGAUCCGUAGCUGGUCUGAGAGGAUGAUCAGCCACACUGGAACUGAGACACGGUCCAGACUCCGACGGGAGGAAGCAGUGGGGAAUAUUGGACAAUGGGCGAAAGCCUGAUCCAGCCAUACCGCGUGGGUGAAGAAGGACUUCGGGUUGUAAAGCCAUUUUGUUGGGAAAGAAAAGCAGCAGGUUAAUACCCCGCUGUUCUGACGGUACCCAAAGAAUAAGCACCGGCUAACUUCGUG
RNAcentral lists this ribosomal RNA (492 nucleotides) under uncultured bacterium. Its description in RNAcentral is "partial 16S ribosomal RNA". It matches the Rfam family "Bacterial small subunit ribosomal RNA", at positions 29 to 507 of the family's 1533-position model. The record is from RNAcentral.